Molecule: non-coding RNA, 450 nt
Organism: Pogona vitticeps (central bearded dragon)
Lineage: Eukaryota; Metazoa; Chordata; Lepidosauria; Squamata; Agamidae
Source: RefSeq, a predicted model, not a curated record
AUGAAUGGAGGAGGUGGAAGGAACGGUGGCUCCAUGAAUGGAGGAGGUGGAAGGAACGGUGACUCCAUGGACGGAGGAGGUGGAAGGAAUGGUGGCUCCAUGAACGGAGGAGGUGGAAAGAAUGGUGGCUCUGUGGAUGGAAGAGACUCAGACACUAGAGUGAUCGGAAGUUCAAGAUAUCCCUCCAAGGAGAAAAUGUCAAAAGAGACUGUCAGUUAUGUAGUCACAUAUUCUUAAUGAUUUAAAUAUAACAGAUAUAGUUGAGGACAACCACAGAAAGGGCUUUGCUGACCAGGUUUUCAGGUUGUGCAGAAAAGCAGAGAAGUCUACUCAAUCUCCGCAACAAUGACCAUUUCAAGGUUUACUCAUCUACUGUCAUUCAGCCUCCAGAAAAGCUUACUAUAAGAUGAAGAUUGUAUUUCACUUCACAUUGUGGUGUAUGUUUUUUUU